AUAUUAAUCCGAAAGGAUAGCUAAUACCCUAUAUUGCCUUUUGUCACUAAGGCAAAAGGUGAAAGCGAGGCUGUCAAAGGCUUCGGCUCAAAGAGGGGUUCGCGUCCUAUCAGGUAGUUGGUGGGGUAAUGGCCUACCAAGCCAAUGACGGGUAGCUGGUCUUAGAGGACGAUCAGCCACAGCGGGACUGAGACACGGCCCGCACCCCUACGGGGGGCAGCAGUGGGGAAUCGUGGGCAAUGGGCGCAAGCCUGACCCCGCAAUGCCGCGUGAGGGAAGAAGCCCUUCGGGGUGUAAACCUCUGUCAGAUGGGAAGAUGGGACUAGGGGCUAAUACCUCCUAGUCUUGACGGUACCAUCAGAGGAAGGGACGGCUAACUACGUGCCAGCAGCCGCGGUAAUACGUAGGUCCCGAGCGUUGCGCGAUGUUACUGGGCGUAAAGCGUCCGUAGCUGGUUUCGUAAGCGGAUUGUCAAAGCCCGAAGCUCAACUUCGGCAAGGCAUUCCGAACUGCGUUACUUGAGUCCUGUUCAGGUAGGCGGAAUUCCCGGUGUAGCGGUGAAAUGCGUAGAUAUCGGGAGGAACACAAGUGGCGAAGGCGGCCUACUGGGACGGUACUGACGGUCAUGGACGAAAGCUGGGGGAGCAAACCGGAUUAGAUACCCGGGUAGUCCCAGCCGUAAACGAUGGAUGUUAGGUGUAGUGAUAACUUCGCUGCACCCCAGCUAACGCGUUAAACAUCCCGCCUGGGGAGUACGGGCGCAAGCCUGAAACUCAAAGGAAUUGGCGGGGGCCCGCACAACCGGUGGAGCGUCUGGUUUAAUUCGAUGCUAACCGAAAAACCUUACCAGGGUUUGAAAUGGUAGGAAAGGCUGUCGAAAGAUAGCCGUGUUUCCCUUUUGGGAAAAAUCCUACCACAGGUGGUGCAUGGCCGUCGUCAGCUCGUGUUGUGAGAUGUUGGGUUAAGUCCCGCAACGAGCGCAACCCUUGUCCUUAUUUGCUUCCUCGUAUGAGGUGCUCUAUAAGGAGACUGCCAGCGACAAGCCGGAGGAAGGAGGGGACGACGUCAGGUCAGUAUGCCCUUUAUGCCCUGGGCUACACAGGCGCUACAGUGGCAUUAU
This 1120-nucleotide ribosomal RNA is filed under the name uncultured Hydrogenobaculum sp. Its description in RNAcentral is "bacterial SSU rRNA". It matches the Rfam family "Bacterial small subunit ribosomal RNA", at positions 143 to 1239 of the family's 1533-position model. The record is from RNAcentral. Lineage: Bacteria; Pseudomonadati; Aquificota; Aquificia; Aquificales; Aquificaceae.